Molecule: non-coding RNA, 95 nt
Organism: Mycena maculata
Lineage: Eukaryota; Fungi; Basidiomycota; Agaricomycetes; Agaricales; Mycenaceae
Source: the annotation of a GenBank genome assembly
GACCUGGUGUUGUAGUGGUAACAUACCCUUUACAAUUUGUUCGCUCAUCCUAAUGUUUUCUAAGGGAGUCCCUCGUUCGAACCGGGGCCAGGUCA